UGGCGAACGGGUGAGUAACACGUGGGUGAUCUGCCCUGCACUCUGGGAUAAGCCUGGGAAACUGGGUCUAAUACCGGAUAGGAGCCAUCUUUAGUGUGGUGGUUGGAAAGUUUUUUCGGUGUAGGAUGAGCUCGCGGCCUAUCAGCUUGUUGGUGGGGUAAUGGCCUACCAAGGCGGCGACGGGUAGCCGGCCUGAGAGGGUGUACGGCCACAUUGGGACUGAGAUACGGCCCAG
RNAcentral lists this ribosomal RNA (235 nucleotides) under uncultured Corynebacterium sp. RNAcentral describes it as "partial 16S ribosomal RNA". It matches the Rfam family "Bacterial small subunit ribosomal RNA", at positions 96 to 334 of the family's 1533-position model. The record is from RNAcentral. Lineage: Bacteria; Bacillati; Actinomycetota; Actinomycetes; Mycobacteriales; Corynebacteriaceae.